GAUGAACGCUGGCGGCGUGCCUAAUACAUGCAAGUCGAACGCACAGCGAAAGGUGCUUGCACCUUUCAAGUGAGUGGCGGACGGGUGAGUAACACGUGGAUGACCUACCUCAAGGUUGGGGAUAACAUUUGGAAACAGAUGCUAAUACCGAAUAAAACUUCGUAUCGCAUGAUACAAGGUUAAAAGGCGCUACGGCGUCACCUAGAGAUGGAUCCGCGGUGCAUUAGUUAGUUGGUGGGUAAAGGCCUACCAAGACAAUGAUGCAUAGCCGAGUUGAGAGACUGAUCGGCCACAUUGGGACUGAGACACGGCCCAAACUCUACGGGAGCUGCAGUAGGGAAUCUUCCACAAAUGGGCGAAAGCCUGAUGGAGCAACGCCGCGUGUGUGAUGAAGGCUUU
Molecule: ribosomal RNA, 399 nt
Filed under: uncultured bacterium
Lineage: Bacteria
Description: bacterial SSU rRNA
Rfam family: Bacterial small subunit ribosomal RNA
Source: RNAcentral